GAGAAAUGCAAACAAGAAAAUAUUAUUACACUACAUCAUAAACACAUUCAACCAUUUUCAGCCCAUCGUUGAACAGCUGGAAUAUAAUAGAACUGUUGCCUUUUACCUAGUUAAACGCAAUCAAUACCUGGAUACUUAGCUUAAAAAUCUACCCCAUUACACAUCAUGCAUAGUAGAUGAUUCUCUCCAAACUGAUUUACUUUAUAUAGCAAUAAAAAAAUAAAAAAAAAUGGAUUUCUCAAGUAUUGAUUAACAUAUUUCUUUCCUGACAUUGACAACAAAAAGAAAGUACAGAAAAGGUCAAAUUAGUCCCAAAAUUAAGGGGUCAUCCAAUUGUAGUACCUAAAAUUUCAAAAUGCAAAAAAGUAAACAAUUCUAUUUUACUUUAAAAAGGGCCCCCACAAUUAAAGAUUCUGUUUAAAUGAAAUUUUCCAUUAGUUACACAUUAAAACUCAUUUUAA
RNAcentral lists this unclassified non-coding RNA (461 nucleotides) under Hevea brasiliensis (rubber tree). The record is from RNAcentral. Lineage: Eukaryota; Viridiplantae; Streptophyta; Magnoliopsida; Malpighiales; Euphorbiaceae.